UACGUAGGUGGCAAGCGUUAUCCGGAAUUAUUGGGCGUAAAGAGGGAGCAGGCGGCAGCAAGGGUCUGUGGUGAAAGACUGAAGCUUAACUUCAGUAAGCCAUAGAAACCGGGCAGCUAGAGUGCAGGAGAGGAUCGUGGAAUUCCAUGUGUAGCGGUGAAAUGCGUAGAUAUAUGGAGGAACACCAGUGGCGAAGGCGACGAUCUGGCCUGCAACUGACGCUCAGUCCCGAAAGCGUGGGGAGCAAAUAGG
Molecule: ribosomal RNA, 252 nt
Filed under: Thomasclavelia saccharogumia
Lineage: Bacteria; Bacillati; Bacillota; Erysipelotrichia; Erysipelotrichales; Coprobacillaceae
Also listed under: 2 other names
Description: [Clostridium] saccharogumia partial 16S ribosomal RNA
Rfam family: Bacterial small subunit ribosomal RNA
Source: RNAcentral